CUUUCUUGUGAUCUAUAUGAUAUAAGCAGUAAUAAAUCCCUGCUUAAAUUAAGGACCUCGGUGUACAACUCUUUCAGUAAGACCUUGUUACUAUUGUUAAUGACAUUUCAAUAACCAUCGAUGGACGGGAACUUUGCCUACUGGUCCGCCUUGUUUCAACGAGCAGGAAAAUGGUUCUCUUCGUCCCCCGCCCUUUGUAUGAUGUUGUUGCCAAGAGAGAUGGCAAGCUACCCUCUGACAUGCCUUGCUAUCGUGACCCUGCAAGAUGUCAUCGCUCUUCCCACUCUUAACCCACAUAGUGGGCACAUAACCCACAGUUCGAGAGGAUCGAAACCUCACUCUCUUGUACAUUUUUUAUUCCAAAGAAUCCCUUGCACUUGGCUUCGUAUGUAAUUCCCGAGCCAUUGUCCAAGGGAUGAUUUAUUCUAGUAU
RNAcentral lists this long non-coding RNA (432 nucleotides) under Hordeum vulgare. RNAcentral describes it as "long non-coding RNA (HVUL_LNC012780)". The record is from RNAcentral. Lineage: Eukaryota; Viridiplantae; Streptophyta; Magnoliopsida; Poales; Poaceae.